UGCAAGGCGGUUUGUGUUGCGCGGCCCGGGCUGGAUGGGUGGAGCCGGGGCAGCCAUUUCGAGCACGGCCUUUAAUAUCGCCCCACUCGUUCUGCUCUUUCCCGGCAUUUUCCGACAGAGCUGUGCUUAUCGAGGUUUGACUCUGUGUCCAAGCUCUGCAUUCCAGGCAGCCAGUCGUACACGUCUGCACCGUGCCCAGCCCAUUUUGGGGUUACAGCUGUUGGAGUUAGUGGGGAAAAAUGUGUUGUCAUAUGGAAUAGCCUCAUUUAUUUUGACAAAAACCAGUCUUCAUGGUAUGAAGGUCCUGCUAAACUUAUCCGCUGUGAUGAAUCGACACAGGACUCUUUCCAGCAUGUCAUGCUCGUGUGGAAGCCUUUGCACCCUGGCAGAACCUGCCAACUGAUGCUGGCAGCCCCACACUUCCAGGAGGGUGAGCAGAGGAGCUGUGUGAGGCAGGAGCAGCAGGCUGGUGCCUCUGGAAGGAGCUGGCUGUGCUGCCCAUCCCAGAGCAGGAG
This is a long non-coding RNA of Vidua macroura (Pin-tailed whydah), 515 nucleotides long. RefSeq lists it as uncharacterized. The transcript is spliced from 4 exons. The record is from RefSeq and is a predicted model, not a curated record. Lineage: Eukaryota; Metazoa; Chordata; Aves; Passeriformes; Viduidae.